This 203-nucleotide ribosomal RNA is filed under the name uncultured bacterium. RNAcentral describes it as "partial 16S ribosomal RNA". It matches the Rfam family "Bacterial small subunit ribosomal RNA", at positions 28 to 226 of the family's 1533-position model. The record is from RNAcentral.
GACGAACACUGGCGGCGUGCUUAACACAUGCAAGUCGAGCGGUAAGGCCCGUUUCGGGGUACGACGAGCGGCGAACGGGUGAGUAACACGUGGGUGACCUGCCCUCAGCUCUGGGAUAAGCCGUGGGAAACCCGGGUCUAAGUACUGGAUAUGACUCCAUGACGCAUGUUGGUAGGGGUGGAAAGCCUUGUGCGGCUGAGGAU